GGCUUGCUGGUCUAGUGGUAUGAUUCUCGCUUAGGGUGCUAGAGGUCACGGGUUCGAUUCCGGUGCAAGCCC
This 72-nucleotide transfer RNA is filed under the name Paramuricea clavata. It matches the Rfam family "tRNA". Rfam says of the family: Transfer RNA (tRNA) molecules are approximately 80 nucleotides in length. Their secondary structure includes four short double-helical elements and three loops (D, anti-codon, and T loops). Further hydrogen bonds mediate the characteristic L-shaped molecular structure. tRNAs have two regions of fundamental functional importance: the anti-codon, which is responsible for specific mRNA codon recognition, and the 3' end, to which the tRNAs corresponding amino acid is attached (by aminoacyl-tRNA synthetases). tRNAs cope with the degeneracy of the genetic code in two manners: having more than one tRNA (with a specific anti-codon) for a particular amino acid; and 'wobble' base-pairing, i.e. permitting non-standard base-pairing at the 3rd anti-codon position. The record is from Rfam by way of RNAcentral. Lineage: Eukaryota; Metazoa; Cnidaria; Anthozoa; Malacalcyonacea; Plexauridae.